GGGAACGUGCCCUUUGCUACGGAAUAGCCCCGGGAAACUGGGAGUAAUACCGUAUGUGCCCCUUGGCCUUGGCGGUCAUGGGGGAAAGAUUUAUCGGCAAAGGAUCGGCCCGCGUUGGAUUAGGUAGUUGGUGGGGUAAUGGCCCACCAAGCCGACGAUCCAUAGCUGGUUUGAGAGGAUGAUCAGCCACACUGGGACUGAGACACGGCCCAGACUCCUACGGGAGGCAGCAGUGGGGAAUCUUAGACAAUGGGGGCAACCCUGAUCUAGCCAUGCCGCGUGAGUGAUGAAGGCCUUAGGGUUGUAAAGCUCUUUCAGCUGGGAAGAUAAUGACGGUACCAGCAGAAGAAGCCCCGGCUAACUCCGUGCCAGCAGCCGCGGUAAUACGGAGGGGGCUAGCGUUGUUCGGAAUUACUGGGCGUAAAGCGCACGUAGGCGGACCGGACAGUCAGAGGUGAAAUCCCAGGGCUCAACCUUGGAACUGCCUUUGAAACUAUCGGUCUGGAGUUCGAGAGAGGUGAGUGGAAUUCCGAGU
This 535-nucleotide ribosomal RNA is filed under the name uncultured bacterium. Its description in RNAcentral is "bacterial SSU rRNA". It matches the Rfam family "Bacterial small subunit ribosomal RNA", at positions 120 to 674 of the family's 1533-position model. The record is from RNAcentral.